Acanthochromis polyacanthus (spiny chromis) is the source of this 307-nucleotide long non-coding RNA. RefSeq lists it as uncharacterized. The transcript has 3 exons. The record is from RefSeq and is a predicted model, not a curated record. Lineage: Eukaryota; Metazoa; Chordata; Actinopteri; Pomacentridae.
CAGGGGGUUUCCUCCUCUCUGGUGGGUCUGUGAUGACCACGAGUACAGCUGCCCUUGGCCUGUCUGCAGAUACGACUCAUCGAACUCCUGUGGGACGGAAGCAAAGCAGAUUGGCUGUAUGUACUCCUGCCCAUCCCGCCUGUCUUUAAAAGCUCACAGACCAACACUGGACAAGUUUAAAAAAGGUAUGCUUACAGAGAAUCUCCACUGUGAAGAAGAGACUGGUGCUUCCAGCCAUGUUGGUGACCACACAGCUGUACUGGCCGCUGUCCUCAGGCCCCACCUCCUGGAUCUCCAAGUACUGACC